CUCAGGACGAACGCUGGCGGCAUGCCUAAUACAUGCAAGUCGAACGCGACCAGCCGGUGCUUGCACUGGCGAAGUCGAGUGGCGAACGGGUGAGUAACACGUGAGAAACCUACCCUGGAGUGGGGAAUAACUCGAAGAAAUUCGAGCUAAUACCGCAUACCUUCUUACCGUCGAAUGGUGGUUUGAAGAAAGAUUUAUCGCUCUGGGAGGGUCUCGCGGCCUAUCAGCUAGUUGGUGAGGUAAACGGCUCACCAAGGGCAUCGACGGGUAGCUGGUCUGAGAGGACGAUCAGCCACACUGGAACUGAGACACGGUCCAGACUCCUACGGGAGGCAGCAGUAGGGAAUCUUGCGCAAUGGGCGAAAGCCUGACGCAGCAAUGCCGCGUGCGGGACGAAGGCCCUAGGGUCGUAAACCGCUUUCAGUAGGGACGAAAAUGACGGUACCUGCAGAAGAAGCUCCGGCCAACUACGUG
RNAcentral lists this ribosomal RNA (474 nucleotides) under uncultured bacterium. RNAcentral describes it as "bacterial SSU rRNA". It matches the Rfam family "Bacterial small subunit ribosomal RNA", at positions 23 to 507 of the family's 1533-position model. The record is from RNAcentral.